This 298-nucleotide ribosomal RNA is filed under the name uncultured bacterium. RNAcentral's name for it is "partial 16S ribosomal RNA". It matches the Rfam family "Bacterial small subunit ribosomal RNA", at positions 775 to 1067 of the family's 1533-position model. The record is from RNAcentral.
GGAUUAGAUACCCUGGUAGUCCACGCCGUAAACGAUGAGCACUAGUUGUUGCGGGUAUUGACCCCUGCAGUGACGACGCUAACGCAUUAAGUGCUCCGCCUGGGGACUACGGCCGCAAGGCUAAAACUCAAAGGAAUUGACGGGGGCCCGCACAAGCGGUGGAGUAUGUGGUUUAAUUCGACGCAACGCGCAGAACCUUACCCGGCCUUGACAUCGAGGGAAAGCCUUAUGAAAGUAAGGCCCUCACCUUCGGGUGACCCAAAGACAGGUGCUGCAUGGCUGUCGUCAGCUCGUGCCG